This 253-nucleotide ribosomal RNA is filed under the name uncultured bacterium. RNAcentral describes it as "partial 16S ribosomal RNA". It matches the Rfam family "Bacterial small subunit ribosomal RNA", at positions 524 to 776 of the family's 1533-position model. The record is from RNAcentral.
UACGUAGGGCGCAAGCGUUGUCCGGAAUUAUUGGGCGUAAAGAGCUCGUAGGCGGUUUGUCGCGUCUGCUGUGAAAACCUAAGGCUCAACCUUGGGCUUGCAGUGGGUACGGGCAGACUAGAGUGCGGUAGGGGUGACUGGAAUUCCUGGUGUAGCGGUGAAAUGCGCAGAUAUCAGGAAGAACACCGAUGGCGAAGGCAGUUCUCUGGGACGGUACUGACGCUGAGACGCGAAAGCGUGGGGAGCGAACAGG